AGGAAGACAGAACAGUUAUUUGCUGUUUAUCGUAUCUUUAAACUGAGUUCACGCUCUCAUAAAUUUAAGCAGCAGUUGGUGUUGCUUGGGAAAAGUUCACCCGGGCUUGAGACUCUGAGGAGACAAGAUACCUGGGACUGCAUGGCUUUCAAAGAAGAAUCCAAAGAAAUUUCUUCAGAGGCAAUGAAUUUUAUCUUUGUUCCAACAUCUGCAAUGUCUGCUGUAGAAGAGCACAUCAGCUCUGUUUCCAGCCGUGAUGACAUACAGGACAGGUUCCUUCAACUGAGCUGAGCAUUGGUCUUAUUGAAUCGUUUGGCUGACUGAUGUUUUCCCACACGCUGAUGAUGAUUCAGGAAAGCUGCGGCAAUAUUCUGUCAAGUUGCUGUUGAUAUGCCUGUAGCUUUCAAGGCAAACUUCCCAUAGGAAGACUAGGGAAAACAUGAGGCCACUGCUGAAUAGGGUAAGGAACUGAUGAAGAAUGACACAGAAAAGACCAAGGUACCUUGGUCUUUUUUGUUUCAUUUGUCACUGCUAAGACAGACCUUCACAAAGCCCAGGCCCCUGAGACCAAACGGAAGGUUUGGAGCAAGGAAUACUUACCGUCAGUGGAGGAGGACCAACCUAGAGAGCACUUGAACAAGCUGGACAUAAGUAAGUCUGUUGGGCCUGGUGGGCUGCACCCAUGAAUACUGAGGAAGCUGACUGAUGCCAUUGCAAAGACAUUCUUAGUUACCUUUAAAAGGUUACGGCAAUUGGGAUAGGUUUCUGAAACCUGGAAGAGAAUAAAUGUCACUCCUAUCUUAAAAAAGGAUGAUCUGGGGAACCACAGGCCACUUGGCAUCACGUCAGUACCUGGGAAGGUGAUAGAGAAUAUACUCUCGGCAAACAUUUCCAAACACAUGAAGGACAAAAAAUGAUCACGAGUAGUGAGCAUAUAUUUAUAAAAGGUAAGUCAUGCUUAACAAAUCCGAUAGCUUUCUACAAUGAAGUGACUAGCUUGGUGGAUGAGAAAAGUUGAUGUUGUUUCCCUUGACUUUAGUAAGGCCUUUGACACUAUCUUCCAUAACACCUUCAUAGACAAGCUAAAAAGGUACAGAUUAGAUAGACAGGCAGGUAGACUGAAAACUUGCUCAGUGGCUGGUCUGAAAGGGUUGUGAUCAGAGGCACAAAGUCCAGUUGGAGGCCAGUCAUUAGUGGUUUACCUCAGGGAAUGAUAUCGAAGCCAUUACUGUUUAACAUCUUUAUUAAUGAACUCUGCACUGAGACAGAGUGCACCAUCAGCGAGCUUGCAGACAAUACAAACCUGAGAGGAGUGGCUGAUAUGCCAGAGGGUUGGUCUGCCGUCCAGAGGGACCUUGAAUUGGCUAGAGAGGAAUGAGUCUUUCCCAGACAACCUACCCCUAGCCUUUCUUCUCACCAGCACUAGGCUGGAGAGAUGAGACAAUGGAAGCCCCUGUGCUGGGUGGUCCCCUCCCUGAGUCCAGAUUCAAGUUGUGGUACCCACCAGCACCACCCGGACAGCUUCUCCUGUCUGUUGGUCUGCAGAAUGCAGUGGCUUGAGGAUAAAGCAAUACUGUGUGCUAGGAAGUCAGAAAGGGCUGCAAGGUCUUUUUCUGUUAUGUUCAAAGGGUUGAUACCCUUCCUAUUACAUUUCAUUACUGAUGCUGCAGGAAGGAAGUAUCAUCCAUUUAAACCCACAAUAUUAUAUUUUUGCUGUUAUAACAUUAAGACAUGGAAUUAUGGUAUUUUACCUUUACAGACAGUAUACGUGGUUGUCUUGUUGUAUCUAUGUUAAUUCUUAAAGAGCGUAUAAUACUUAUUCGAGGCGAGUGUGUGUGUUUAGGGAAUGUUUGGAAUACUUACAAUCUAGUUAUUACACCUAACUGACCUCAUUUUGAAUCUGUUGUGAGUGUGCUUGAGUCCCAGGUUAAUUUAAAUAAUACCAGAGUUUUGGAAAAAGAAUCAAGUUCCAUGAGAUUUUCUUUAUCUGUGUUUCCCAUCUGGCUUGCUGUUACAGGCAUUUAAUCCUGUGUUUGCUGCCAGUGUUUCCCAGAAAGCCUUAUAAUUGCUUGGAAUUUGUAUGAACAGUUCCAGUCUGGUGCACAAUUAGGGAUGCACUAUAAAAUUUUCAUUGCUCGAUUUAGUUGAAAUUAUAAGAUGGAUGGGUAACUAUAAUGACCAUAGUUGUACCAUAUAAAAAUGACUACUGGAAAUUUGCAAGAGGGAAAAUUUAAUGGUAAAUAUUUCUUUUUCUUUUACUCCAGAGGUGAGGGAAAAAGGAAACAUAGCAAUAGAAUUUAAAAGAAAUGCUUGAUGUUCUAAGGUACUUUCCUUACUUUCCUUCUUUCCCCUAUAGUUGCAUAUCUCAAACUGGAAACCUGUUAUUUAGAAUAUGUUUAUGUGCCCCUUUAAGAGGUUGAUGUGGGGUUUUGGAUGAUAUAAAAACAUGACAUGUGCUUUCUCUUCUCCAGAAAAUAAAUGCAAUUGUGUUGUUUAUUUUUUAUAUAAACAAAUGGUUCACUUGUUCACUUUCUUUUUUUUUUUUUUCUUAUAUACUUGCUGAUGAUGCGGGGAGGCAUAUGUCCAGUAAUGAUUGGCAGCUGGCAUCAACAUACCAUGAAAAAAACCCUGGCAGAUUACUCAGUAGGAAAUCCUUUAUGCCGAAUGGCACGAAUUGGGAGUGAUUUUGAAAGGAACUUCAUGUUUAUAGCUUGUCACGGAGAGACCUAAAGCUCCUGAUUCUUUUCUUGUUUGUUUGGCUAACUGCUACAGUUUCAAAAAGCUGUUAUGUCUUUAGCCACAUGUUUGCUGUGAAGUCAGAAGCUGUGAAAGGAAGUGUUGUGCAGCUCUGAGAAUUCAGAGCGUAACAAUGGACACACUUGUCUGCAAGUUAUGAACAGGGGAGCCUAUGUGGUUGUGCAGUGCUGUGCGCUGUGAUAUUUGACCUAGCUCAGUCACCAAAAGCUGGCGUAUGUUACCUGACACACACGGGAUACAUCAUGAUGAUAGUGUUCUCUCUGAAAGUUUUUCGGAACUAUGUGCAUCAUGUCAAAUCUUCUUCUAAUAAGAGACUGACAGCCUGUUGUCUGAAAGGAAAUUCUACAAGAUACCAGGGUGGGGAUAUUUAACACGAUGUUUGCUCUAAGGUUUUCUCCACUUAUUUGCAAGAACUUUUGUGGGCUGCGGUAUUAUGUUCAGUGGCACCCGCGAAUAUAGCAGCAUAAGGUGAAACAUUUGCAGCUUCAGGGAAGUUAGUGUGAAAAGUUAACAGACUGACUAAUUUUAUGUCCUGUGUAAUUUUUUGCAACUCUGCUUGGAAUUAUUCUCUAUUUUUCUUAAUUUCCCAAAGCACCUUUUUUUUUUCAUGUUAAAAACCAAACCCAUACUUGCAUAUGAUAAUCGUUGUUUACAGGUUACUCUUUGUGGAAAGGAACAAAGGUAAAUGCCUUCCCACAGCAGUAUUUAAUACACAGUGGUACUGACAUAAGUCUUCCUGGUAUUGUGCUGUAUGGGAACUUUUCAGUUUCAUUAGAAUUUGCAAUUAACCAGACAGCCCAGAGCUUGCAUCUGUAUUUACGGAAAUAUUAUUUGUCUAGAGAGAAAAACAAAACCUAGCUCCCCAAAAACUAUUUAACAGCCUAUCUUCCUUUCUCCAAAGAAAACAGUAGUAAUUUUUCAUCAGCUUCAUGGAAAAUGUAUUUCCUCAUCUAGUAAUAACACAUAAGGGCAGAAAUGUGCAUUCUGCACACUCCCUUGUGGCCUUUGCCACUGAGCUCUUGCUUUCUGGCUCCUUGCUGUUGUGUGGAAAUCCAUUGGCCUUUAGUAACAGUGUAAUUUCUGGAAAUGGGAGAAAGCAAAAGAGAGAGUCUGAAAGAAAGGAGUUGGUAAAUGGAAAGGUCAAGGGAGGGAAAGAUAACAAGAGGCUGAGACAACUUCCUCCCCUGAAAAAUAACCCAACAAAACCCAGCUAAAAAAACCAAAAAUAAAAACCCCAAGCACAACAACAAAAACAAAACAACAAAAAAUCCAAACCACAAAACAAGGAAGGGAUAUCAGUAAAAAGAUUAGAGAAAAAAAAGAGAAUUCUAAAAAGGAGAUGAUAAUUCAUCACUGCCAACAUUAUUAACAAUAGGGUAAUGUUUACAUUAUGGUAAUACUCACAGACCCCGGUUGUGCCGUGCACUUCCCAUAGAGACGCUACCCCAUUGUUUCUGCAGACUGAUCUCCCACUUGCCCUUGUUGCCUCCUCAGACCUCUCAGUUGUCCUUUCCUCCUUCCAUCCCUUUCUUCUCUCAUGAAACAGUGAGAGAGAAUUCCUCAUUUCACCCAUGGCUUGCAGCAGCAAAGCUGUAUUGUCUUUGAAAGCCUGGCAGGUAUGUUUUUUGGGAACAGGAGGACAUGUGAUGAAAGGAAGAAAAAAGGAUAUGAGGCCAUGUAACGAAGAAGAAGAAAAUGCAGACUGAAAGGUUAAGAGGUUACUCCCCAUGAACCUCACUACUGGAGCCGCUGGCAUAACUAUCUGUGAAGUCACUCCUCCUUAUUGUAUCAGUAUGGUCUAGGUUAGUUUAAACACUUAAAAUAAUUGUGUUUUUAAAAUCUGGGUCAUUUUGACAGAUACAGUCUAGAAAGAAAUUUUUAUAUGCGGUUAUCCAUCAGAUCUCAGGAAACAGCAUCCUUCACAUGCGGUUAUGGGCAGUGACCUCUAACCAAGCUUAGCUGCAGUGAAACCAACAUUUUUUACAUAGGUUAGCUUUUAGUAUUUUUAGUAUUUUGCUGGAAACCUAGUGUAGAAUAAUUGCAAAAUGUACUCCUGCGUAGUUUUGAAAAUAGCUGAAAGCUAGUGCUUUAGACUAAUGUGGUACAUACAGCAUAGUGUGGUGUUACUUAAAACGCACAUAUCAGUCUUGAGCUCCUUGCUGAUUUAUCACUUUAGAAAGUGAUAGAAAGAUGACUUUCUUUAGUGGACAUUUGUCAAGGUCACUUAGCAUACUGUUCUUUUGGAUAGUCUGCUAAGUAUGAGAAGGGUGGGAGCUCAUCUCAUACUGUAUAUGAUCAAAGCUUUCUGAUGUUUAUGAAGACUCACCUGACCUCAGUGGACUGGGACACUGGGACACCUUUUAUCUUGGUUACCACUUCCUUGAUAGUUGAGUCUUUUCACAGAAUCUGUGCAUUGCUCCUGCUUUCUUAUCUACCAAGGAAUACUCAUCAGUGAAAUGCGUCCUGUAGUCUCUCCUUACUAGAGAAAUAUGUCAUGGGCAACUGCUCCUUAAGAUGUUUCUUACUUAGAUGAAAACAUUGUUAAAAGAGCAUGCUAUUCUUGCAUGAGAGAGAAAGAAACAAGAAAUACAUUAUUUUUUCUCAACAUUUUAUGCACAUGACACUUGAAAUUCGGUGAUUCAAUCCUCAUGUAUAGCUUGGCUAUAGGCAUGAUAUAUUACUUGCAAAACUGUCUAUUUGCCUUGGUGGGUCAGUUAUAGUGUGGGGAAAAAGGACCAAAAAGUGCUACAGCAUGACUGACUUAAAAACUAUAUUGUCAAGGGAGUGUGUCCCUAGCAGAACUUUUGAAACCUCAUUUUAGUUAGGGGGAGUUACAGAUUAUUAUUUUUUUUCUCAAUCAGUUAUCUUCAGCUACACUGCUGAUUGAAGAUAUUUGCAACAUAUAUAAUCUGUUUAAAACAUUCAUAUUUUUAAUACUGACUGUGGUGGGUUGACCCUGGCUGGAGGCCAGGUGCCCACCAGAGCCGCUCUCUCACUCCCCUCAUUCACUAGACAGGGGAGAAAGGGCAUAACGAAAUGCUUGCAGGUCGAGAUAAGGACAGGGAGAGAUCACUCACUAAUUGUUGUCACGAGCAAAACACACCAAACUUAGAGAGGGAAUUCAUCUAAUUUAUUACCAAGCAAAACAGAGUAGAGCAAUGAGAAAUAAAAUCAAAUCUUAAAACACCUCCCCCCACCCCUCCCAUCUUUCUGGGCUCAACUUCACUCCUGGCUUCAACCUCCUCCCUGCUCAGCGUCAGAGGGGGACGGGGAAGGGGUCAGUUCAUCACACGUUGUCUCUGCUGCUUCUUCAUCCUCAGGAGGAGGACUCCUCUCAUUGUUCCCCUGCUCCAACAUGGAGUCCCUCUCAUGGGAGACAGUCCUUCACGAACUGCUCCAGCAUGGUCUCUUCCAUGGGGUGCAGACCUUCAGGAGCAAACUGCUCCAGCGUGGGGUCCCCCACGGGGUCACAAGUCCUGCCAGCAAACCUGCUCCGGUGUGGGCUCCUCUCUCCAUGGGGCCACAGGUCCUGCCAGGAGCUUGCUCCAGCAUGGGCUUCCCAUGGGGUCACAGCCUCCUUCAGGUGCCUCCACCUGCUCCGGCGUGGGGUCCUCCACGGGCUGCAGGUGGAAUCUCUACACCCCCCUCAUCCUUCCUCCAUGGGC
Molecule: long non-coding RNA, 6422 nt
Organism: Grus americana (Whooping crane)
Lineage: Eukaryota; Metazoa; Chordata; Aves; Gruiformes; Gruidae
Exons: 6
Source: RefSeq, a predicted model, not a curated record